This 72-nucleotide small nuclear RNA is filed under the name Cryoendolithus antarcticus. Lineage: Eukaryota; Fungi; Ascomycota; Dothideomycetes; Cladosporiales; Cladosporiaceae. The record is from RNAcentral.
GGACUUCGGUCCAUUUGGUCAAUUUGAAACAAUACAGAGAAGAUUAGCAUGGCCCCUGCACUAAGGAUGACA